GUGAGUUUGGAGGCCACAGUUAACUCCUUGAUUUUAAAAGGUGAAUCUCGAGUUUCCAUAGGCCUACAUUCAGUUUCAAAUGUCUACUUCUAUAGGGCAAAAGCGUAACUUUCUACAUAUUCUCAUGUCUCUUAAGCAGGGAAACUUUAAAUAGACACAUCAACCAUCAAAACCCAACAGCAGAAAGGAGCUACAAGAAAAUCCUCAUUAGUGAGCUGUUGUUUACUUAAAACAGAGAACUAAGUCAGCAACAAUAUAUUAAAAGACUGCUAAAUUUCAUUCAAUAAAUCAAUUCUUAUUGCGAGAAUUUUUUUCUUUCCUCCCAUAUUAGUGUUGAAAUAUUCUUGGCCAAAAUAUUGCUAAGCCCACUGGAGUAAAUCUCCCCUCAGAGCUCUGGCAAACAUUUGGGACAAAAAUUACAAAGAAAAAGCAAUUGAGAUUCCUGAAAGUU
Molecule: long non-coding RNA, 451 nt
Organism: Perognathus longimembris pacificus (Pacific pocket mouse)
Lineage: Eukaryota; Metazoa; Chordata; Mammalia; Rodentia; Heteromyidae
Exons: 2
Source: RefSeq, a predicted model, not a curated record